UGAGAGGAGUAGCCCGGAGAUGGGUACUGAGACACGGACCCAGGCCCUAUGGGGCGCAGCAGGCGAGAAAACUUUGCUCAUGUGCGAAAGCACGACAAGGUUAAUCCGAGUGGUUUGUGCUAAACGCACCUCUUGUCAGUCCUAGAAACACUGAUGAAUAAGGGGUGGGCAAGUUCUGGUGUCAGCCGCCGCGGUCAAACCAGCACCUCAAGUGGUCAGGAUGAUUAUUGGGCCUAAAGCAUCCGUAGCCGGCUCUGUAAGUUUUCGGUUAAAUCUGUACGCUCAACGUACAGGCUGCCGGGAAUACUGCAGAGCUAGGGAGUGGGAGAGGUAGACGGUACUCGGUAGGAAGGGGUAAAAUCCUUUGAUCUAUUGAUGACCACCUGUGGCGAAGGCGGUCUACCAGAACACGUCCGACGGUGAGGGAUGAAAGCUGGGGGAGCAAACCGGAUUAGAUACCCGGGUAGUCCCAGCUGUAAACUAUGCAAACUCAGUGAUGCAUUGACUUGUGGUCAAUGCAGUGCUGCAGGGAAGCCGUUAAGUUUGCCGAAUCUUCAAGGUGAAUGCAUUUGAUCUUAGUGGUUCCAAUUGCAAGUGCCUGCCACGGUCAGCCCGUUCAUGUUUGCUUGCCUCGUCUACGUACGUACGCUAGUAUGACACUUAAAGCCAUUGGCGGGGGAGCACCACAAGGGGUGAAGCCUGCGGUUCAAUUGGAGUCAACGCCAGACAUCUUACCCGGAGAGACAGCAGAAUGAAGGUCAAGCUGAAGACUUUACCAGACAAGCUGAGAGGUGGCUGCAUGGCCGUCGCCAGCUCGCGCCGUGAGAUGUCCUGUUAAGUCAGGUAACGAGCGAGAUCCCUGCCUCUAGUUGCCACCAUUACUCUCAGGAGUAGUGGGGCGAAUUAGCGGGACCGCCGCAGUUAAUGCGGAGGAAGGAAGGGGCCACGGCAGGUCAGUAUGCCCCGAAACUCUGGGGCCACACGCGGGCUGCAAUGGUAACGACAAUGGGUUUCAAAUCCGAAAGGAUGAGGUAAUCCUCAAACGUUACCACAGUUAUGACUGAGGGCUGCAACUCGUCCCUCACGAAUAUGGAAUCCCUAGUAACUGUCGUUGUUCAUUAUCGUCGUCGUGUUGACAUACGUUCCCUGUCUCCUUGUCACACACCGUCCCGUUCGUUUUCAUUGUAAGUGUAGUCUCCUAGUCGUAGUGUGCACGUUCUGUAUUGUGUCGUUAUCGUAACUUGG
Molecule: ribosomal RNA, 1245 nt
Filed under: uncultured archaeon
Lineage: Archaea
Description: bacterial SSU rRNA
Rfam family: Archaeal small subunit ribosomal RNA
Source: RNAcentral